RNAcentral lists this ribosomal RNA (446 nucleotides) under uncultured bacterium. Its description in RNAcentral is "bacterial SSU rRNA". It matches the Rfam family "Bacterial small subunit ribosomal RNA", at positions 329 to 792 of the family's 1533-position model. The record is from RNAcentral.
GACCAGACUCCUACGGGAGGCAGCAGUGGGGAAUAUUGCACAAUGGGGGAAACCCUGAUGCAGCAACGCCGCGUGAGUGAAGAAGUAUUUCGGUAUGUAAAGCUCUAUCAGCAGGGAAGAAGAUGACGGUACCUGAUUAAGAAGCCCCGGCUAACUACGUGCCAGCAGCCGCGGUAAUACGUAGGGGGCAAGCGUUAUCCGGAUUUACUGGGUGUAAAGGGAGCGCAGACGGCAGUGCAAGUCUGGAGUGAAAGCCCGGGGCCCAACCCCGGAACUGCUCUGGAAACUGUGCGGCUAGAGUGCUGGAGGGGCAGGCGGAAUUCCUAGUGUAGCGGUGAAAUGCGUAGAUAUUAGGAGGAACACCAGUGGCGAAGGCGGCCUGCUGGACAGUAACUGACGUUGAGGCUCGAAAGCGUGGGGAGCAAACAGGAUUAGAUACCCCUGUA